Long non-coding RNA from Vidua macroura (Pin-tailed whydah), 449 nucleotides. RefSeq lists it as uncharacterized. The transcript is spliced from 3 exons. The record is from RefSeq and is a predicted model, not a curated record. Lineage: Eukaryota; Metazoa; Chordata; Aves; Passeriformes; Viduidae.
GCGGCAGGUGAGGGCGGGGCGGCCGCAGGUGGGCUCCGAGGGGGCCCCGCUGCGCCCGCGCGGCCUCCGAGCGGCCCCAGGUGUGCCUUGGUUUCUCCCCCGGGUGGCCCCAAAGCCACCCAGGUGUGUCCCAGGUGUCCCCAAAGCCACCCAGGUGUGUCCCAGGUGUCCCCAAAACCACCCAGGUGUGUCCUGGGUGGCCCCAAAACCACCCAGGUGUGUCCCAGGUGUGUCCAGGUGUCCCCAAAGCUGUCCAGGUGUGUCCCAGGUGUGGCCAGGUGUCCACAAAGCCACCCAGGUGUGUCCCAGGUGUCCCCAAAGCCACCCAGGUGUCCCCAGAGCCAUCCAGGUGUGUCCCAGGUGUCCCCAAAAGCCCCCACGGGCAUCCCCAGGUGUGUCCAGGUAUCCACAAAGCCACCCAGGUGUUUCCCAGGUGUCCCUAGGUGUGG